RNAcentral lists this ribosomal RNA (350 nucleotides) under uncultured bacterium. RNAcentral describes it as "bacterial SSU rRNA". It matches the Rfam family "Bacterial small subunit ribosomal RNA", at positions 152 to 507 of the family's 1533-position model. The record is from RNAcentral.
CGAAAGGAAGAUUAAUACCGCAUAAGAUUGUAAUAUCGCAUGAUAUAGCAAUUAAAGGAGCAAUUCGCUAUAAGAUGGACCCGCGUCGCAUUAGCUAGUUGGUGAGGUAACGGCCUACCAAGUCGACGAUCAGUAGCCGACCUGAGGAGGGUGAUCGGCCACAGUUGGGACUGAGACACCGGACCCAAACCUCCGUACGGGGAGGCAGCAGGUGGGGAAUUAGUUGGGCAAGUGGGGGAAACCCUGACCCAGCAACGCCGCGUGAAGGAAGAAGGCCCUCGGGUUGUAAACUUCUUUUAGCAGGGACGAAUUCUGACGGUACCUGCAGAAAAGCAACGGCUAACUACGUG